AGGACGAACGCUGGCGGCGUGCUUAACACAUGCAAGUCGAGCGGAAAGGCCCUUCGGGGUACUCGAGCGGCGAACGGGUGAGUAACACGUGAGUAAUCUGCCCCUAGCUCUGGGAUAGCUCCGGGAAACCGGGAUUAAUACCAGAUACGACCUCGAGCGGCAUCUCUUGAGGUGGAAAGCUCCGACGGUGAGGGAUGGGCCCGCGGCCUAUCAGCUUGUUGGUGGGGUAAUGGCCUACCAAGGCGACGACGGGUA
This 255-nucleotide ribosomal RNA is filed under the name uncultured bacterium. RNAcentral's name for it is "partial small subunit ribosomal RNA". It matches the Rfam family "Bacterial small subunit ribosomal RNA", at positions 26 to 285 of the family's 1533-position model. The record is from RNAcentral.